This 529-nucleotide long non-coding RNA is filed under the name Camelus dromedarius (Arabian camel). Its description in RNAcentral is "lncRNA (ENSCDRG00005001196.1)". The record is from RNAcentral. Lineage: Eukaryota; Metazoa; Chordata; Mammalia; Artiodactyla; Camelidae.
CGCAGUUUCCUACGGAUCCGAAAGUGGGGCGCGCUGAGGGAGGGUCACGGUGCUCUGCUUUCUAGUGCAAAUCUGUGCUGUUCCGUCCUCUUUAUUCCAGCCUCAGGGUGUGAGGGUCACUACAGACCUAAAAUCCCAGCACCCAGCUCUCCGCCAUGUAAAUCCAGACAUCGCUGCUCCAGAUUGCCUUCUAAAGAUUUACUUAGCCUGAAGAAGAAUCCUAGAAGAGGAGGAAGAGGAUAGAAAAAGAGUCAGAAAUGGCUUUUUCUCAGGUAAAGUCAUAGAAAUCUUUCACCUUGUUGGCCCAGUUUUUCCUCCGUGUUCUAUCCCUUUUGGUGCUGCUUAAUGUCUGUGUCACUUUUCUCUUCUGUUAAGAUGUGAACAGAUCUUUUCCCUAAUGACCUAUGAUGUAGAUACUUUAUAAAGCGUUGAGAGUAAUGCUUAGUAUUUAAGAAAUAUUCGAACAUCUUUAGUCAUUGCUCUUGUUAUCAUCAAAAUCAUUUAGAUUUUGUCUUUGCUUUAAAGCCAC